CUCGAGUGGCGAACGGGUGAGUAACACGUGGGUGAUCUGCCCUGCACUUCGGGAUAAGCUUGGGAAACUGGGUCUAAUACCGGAUAGGAACCAUCUUUAGUGUGGUGGUUGGAAAGUUUUUUCGGUGUAGGAUGAGCUCGCGGCCUAUCAGCUUGUUGGUGGGGUAAUGGCCUACCAAGGCGGCGGCGGGUAGCCGGCCUGAGAGGGUGUACGGCCACAUUGGGACUGAGAUACGGCCCAGACUCCUACGGGAGGCAGCAGUGGGGAAUAUUGCACAAUGGGCGCAAGCCUGAUGCAGCGACGCCGCGUGGGGGAUGAAGGCCUUCGGGUUGUAAACUCCUUUCGCUAGGGACGAAGCUUUUUGGUGACGGUACCUAGAUAAGAAGCACCGGCUAACUACGUGCCAGCAGCCGCGGUAAUACGUAGGGUGCGAGCGUUGUCCGGAAUUACUGGGCGUAAAGGGCUCGUAGGUGGUUUGUCGCGUCGUCUGUGAAAUUCUGGGGCUUAACUCCGGGCGUGCAGGCGAUACGGGCAUAACUUGAGUGCUGUAGGGGUAACUGGAAUUCCUGGUGUAGCGGUGAAAUGCGCAGAUAUCAGGAGGAACACCGAUGGCGAAGGCAGGUUACUGGGCAGUUACUGACGCUGAGGAGCGAAAGCAUGGGUAGCGAACAGGAUU
Molecule: ribosomal RNA, 676 nt
Filed under: uncultured Actinomycetales bacterium
Lineage: Bacteria; Bacillati; Actinomycetota; Actinomycetes; Actinomycetales
Description: bacterial SSU rRNA
Rfam family: Bacterial small subunit ribosomal RNA
Source: RNAcentral